Molecule: non-coding RNA, 230 nt
Organism: Pelobates cultripes (western spadefoot toad)
Lineage: Eukaryota; Metazoa; Chordata; Amphibia; Anura; Pelobatidae
Source: the annotation of a GenBank genome assembly
CUGUCAGGGAAGAAGUAUAUACUAACCGUAGUAGACUAUGCCACCCGGUACCCAGAGGCCGUAGCCAUAACUAAUAUCCAUGCGGAGACUAUAGUAGAUGCGCUAAUCCGGAUAUUCUCCAGAAUGGGGUUCCCCAAAGAGAUUAUCUCAGAUCGGGGUACCCAAUUCACAGCCGAAGUCACUCAUCAGUUAUGGAGAACAUGUGGGGUGAAACCUAUUGUAAACUCAGC